RNAcentral lists this ribosomal RNA (361 nucleotides) under uncultured bacterium. RNAcentral's name for it is "partial 16S ribosomal RNA". It matches the Rfam family "Bacterial small subunit ribosomal RNA", at positions 355 to 732 of the family's 1533-position model. The record is from RNAcentral.
UGGGGAAUAUUGCACAAUGGGCGAAAGCCUGAUGCAGCAACGCCGCGUGAGUGAUGAAGGCCUUCGGGUUGUAAAGCUCUGUCUUUUGGGACGAUAAUGGACGGUACCAAAGGAGGAAGCCACGGCUAACUACGUGCCAGCAGCCGCGGUAAUACGUAGGUGGCAAGCGUUGUCCGGAUUUACUGGGCGUAAAGGAUGCGUAGGCGGAUUUUUAAGUGAGAUGUGAAAUACCCGGGCUUAACUUGGGUGCUGCAUUUCAAACUGGGAAUCUAGAGUGCGGGAGAGGAAAUGGAAUUCCUAGGUGUAGCGGUGAAAUGCGUAGAGAUUAGGAAGAACACCAGUGGCGAAGGCGAUUCUCUGG